GCCGAUGCGGGGCGCGUCGCCCCUUCCCGUGGUGCAGCGCGGCCGGCGGCGGCAGUAGCCGCCGCGACUCCAUCCGGGUCCCGCGGUGCUCCGGGUCACCCUGCGGCAGACUAACUUGAAGGCCCGGAAGUGCCGCCCCCGGGCGCUCCUGAGUGGUCGGUUACGCUCGCCGCCCGCCGGGGAUAGGCCGCGGAUGCCGUCAGCGGCUGGUUUUCCUCUCCAGCUCUGUUUUCAAGAUGUCUUUGCUAAGAAGGGGACUGUAAGUCACAUCUGUCUGAUGAGAUUACAUCUGUGGGACAAGAAUAGUACUUUUAAAGAAAAGUUUAAUGACUAAUUGCUAUGACUACUACAACUUGCUAACUCUGUAAAGUUGAAAUAUGUUAAGACCUAAGCAAUUCAUAGAAUUUUGAAAUUAAGGAAUGUUAUUUUUAAAGUAAAAAUGUAAUUGCAUGUUUGGGGAGAGAAGGAAUUUCUCUUUGAUCAGUUUUUUUUUUUAUGCUGUAAAUGGUGUCUUGCAGCUAGCUUAACUUGACUUUAUUAAAAAUCACAUUCUUCCUGCAUCACCUGUGAAGAUGCCUGCACUGUGGGAUGAGGUAGUAGGUUGUAUAGUUUUAGGGUCAUACCCACAACUGGGAGAUAACUAUACAAUCUACUGUCUUUCCUAAAGCAGCAGAAAGUCAACAGCGGAAACUUUUCAAUUUAAGUUCAAUGGCAGAUUCUACUGAGCUCCUGUACUUGGAAUGUUUAUAGAUAAGGUAUUUUAGGAGAAUGUAUUUUUGUAAUAUCUAAAAAUAAUUGCAUUUAGAUUUUUCUCAUUCUUGGAAAGUUCAGGUUAUCAUUUUACAUUAAUUUCUUCUCCUCUAAAGAAUAAAAAAGUUAAUAGACUAAGUUUCAUAUGCAUAUGGUGGACUAAUCAAAUGCAAUGAUUGAUGUUCUAAUAAGUUGUGUUGUUUACCAUUGCUAACUGAAAUAUCAGAUAUAAAUACUCUUCAGAAUAAGACUGUAGUGAGUUACUUCAGGAAAGAGCUUAAAUAUAUGCUUCUCUGUCAGAGUGAGGUAGUAGAUUGUAUAGUUGUAGGGUAGUUAUUUUACCCUGUUCAGGAGAUAACUAUACAAUCUAUUGCCUUCCCUGAGGAGUAAAACAAACUGCGGUCCUUUGCAGUAAUUCAUAUCUACAUUGAAUAAAAAUAGAUUUGUCAGAUUUUGGGUUGUAGAGUAUCAAAUUUAUCAGUGACAGAAUUUGCAGAAUUAACUAUUAGUGUGAAUGGAGCAACCCCCAAAUGUUAUGUUUGACUGCUGUGACUUUUCUUCCAAGGUGAGUGGCACAGUGCUGACUGGAUAUCCAAAGUGCAUAUGUUACUAGAUACAGAAUUGCCUCAGUGGAGUGGAAAGUCUAAAACAAUUUGAUUUUGAAUCUAAAAAUACAGGUGGCUCAGACUGGUACAUUAUGCCUUAAACUGUUUUGAGACCUCAAUUUCUGUAAGGUAUUAAAAUGCCACAACCCCAGCUGAGUAGUAAAAGUUGGAGGAAGACUUUGAAUUCUGCUUUGUCUGAUUAUUUUCUAGUUCUUCUAGCAAGUGAGACUUAAGCAAUGUAACACAACAUUAAAAUGUUGACUUGAAUGGCCAAAUCUACCUUUUGAAACAAAAUAAAAUACUUCUGGGAGGGGUGUGUGUGUGUAAAGCUAUAGAAUUUGAGCACCCAAGAUCCAGAUCUUCAAUUUUUCUGAGGUAGUUACUGUUUUUAUAAAAAGACAGUUUAAUCUUAUUGUGUGCUUUUUCCUCUUGAAGAGCUAGAGUGUAUUCAGUCUAACUACUUGUAGAGUAGAUUGACAGCUCCUUGCUGUAGUGACAGACAAGCAUGAAAUAGCUUUUCAUGGCUGAAAGUUCAGCAUAGUAAGUCAGAAUGAAAAUGGAGCCUUGCAAGAGUGUUUAAGCCAGGAAUGUUGAACUAGUUAACCACUUACAAGUAGUGACAGUGUAAAGUUGUAGUAUGUACCCAGGCCUAACAUGCAGAAGAUCAAAAGCAGCUGGUAAGCUAAACUGACUUCAGAGAGCAGCUGCUUAGUAAGAACUGCAAAAAGGAAACACUGGGCUCCUAGGAAGAGGUAGUAGGUUGCAUAGUUUUAGGGCAGGGAUUUUGCUCACAAGGAGGUAACUAUACAACCUGCUGCCUUUCUUAGGGCUUUACUAUAACAACAGGACCAUUUUGGCUCCAUCUUAACUUCUGCAGCUUUGACAUGUGAAGAGAAAUGACAAACUAUUUCUAAGCAUAUUGAGGCUUAGUGAAACUGGUAUAUGAGAAGACUUGGCACUAAACUCAAGUUUAGUACUACUAGUUGGAAUUCAGUAUGAUAAAAUGCUGCAUUUAAGGGUGUGCUUGCCAUUUUGGUGACAUUAGUGUUGUGAUACCUUGCAGGAAAGAGGCUAUGUUUGGAAGGUAACUCCUUCAAGACUAAGAUUUAAGUUCCCUGAAGUUGCAUGAUGCCUAUCUAAAAGUUCACUUGAGGUACCAAUACAAUGUACCUAGAGACAGAUAACUAAAAUACAUGUUCCUUUUGGCUUUGCAUUUCAAGCAGAAAAACUAAAGUUUCACUUUCCCAGAAGGAUCAGUGGACAACUUAUUUGAAAGCUAGUGGUUUCUGUACACAUAUAGGCAUAAUAAAACAUAUAGGCCUAAUAAAACAAGUUCUCAAUCGUGGAUUAAAUGAAUGGUUGCUUAGUGCCCUCUCUCAUGGGUUUGUAGGUUGAAAAAGUCCAUAAUUAGUUCUUGUAGGGCUUCAUCUUGAUACCUUAUGCUGUGGGAUAUGAAGACUUAUUUUAAUGGUUAAGCCUGUUACAGCAUUGAAGUCUUAUGUCUGCACUAGCCAGUACUUUGACAGUAAGACACAAUCCUUCCCUAGAUACUAUAAAAAACAUUGAGUAUGCUUACAUUGAACCUGUUUCAUGGAUUUAACUGUACACGUUUGACUUAGUUACUGACUUAAUAAACUGUAGUGUUUUAUGCAA
Molecule: long non-coding RNA, 3008 nt
Organism: Dromaius novaehollandiae (emu)
Lineage: Eukaryota; Metazoa; Chordata; Aves; Casuariiformes; Dromaiidae
Exons: 4
Source: RefSeq, a predicted model, not a curated record